GUAUUGGUUUGUCUUGAUGUGGUUUGGACUGUCUUUGUGGUUUGUUUUUUUGGUUUUCACUUAUGUCUGUCCACCCUCAACUUGGUACACCCUCAACUGUCAACACCCUCAACUACCUUGCUCUGUUUUACAAUUAGGCAACUGAGUUUUUAGCUAGCUCACCUGUUGGGAAUACUGACACAGUAACCCUGGCUAUUUGCACAACAUUUGAAGACCAAGAGAUUCAGUUUGGCAAUGUGCAUGAUGACAACAGUAGUGAUCUUUGUACCAUCUCAUGGCAUUCCCAAAAUGAGGAGGCAGUCCUGAAUGAUCAACCUCUUGAUGUAGCACCAGCACAUCCAGUGGCAGACACAGAUGAACCUGCAAGUGUGAAAGAGGCCCGGAAAGUUAAGAUAAGAUGAGUAAAUGUAAUUCAGGAUAUGUUAGAACUUUCUUUGGACCCUAAAAUUCUUGACGUAACCCUACGAUUUGAGCUUGUCUGUGAGAAGGCGUUAGAUGAUGGUGUGUCAAGGGUGGAGGUACAAGUGCCUAGACUCCGACCAGACUAUUCAGAGAAAGAAUGGCAAGCUGUUGGUAGACAAUGGGCUAAAGAAUUUGUGGACCAUGGCAUUAUUCUAGUCAAACUGUCACCAGUCUUUGUCCUAGCAUGCACUUAGAGAACUGAUUCAGUGGAUGAAACCCUGCUGAUAUAAUUUGCAAAAUACUUGUCGUCUGCAGGGCAAUAUGGAUGAAAUUGACAAAGAGGACUUACUAGUCCUCUUCGCAAAAAUCUGAUCUAUAUCCUGCCCCUAGAAGGCAACAUGCAAAUUGCCAUUCUGACAAUGGCUCGCAAAGUUUUAUUACAAGAGCCCAAAUUUGAAAUCGAUUGCUUCAGCUAUGUUAUGAGUCUUGCAUUGUAAUCUGACAACUAAAGAAAGCAUACUGUUACGGUUUCCCCUUGUUCUUGGGUCUGUUUCUUGUCCUGUGUUGUAGCCAUGUGCUUUCUGCCAUGUGCUGUUUUGUUUUUGGUUCUUGUGCACUGCCUUUUCCCUGCCUUCCCCGUUAAUAUCUUCACCUGUCUGUAGUCUCUCUCUCCUCCCUCUCCCAGGUGUUCCCCAUUUGUAACCUUUAUCUAGCCCUUUGUUUUAGUCAGUGAUUUUCUGGUCUUCUUGUGACUUUGUCUUAUGUAGUUCUCUCCCUGCUUCGUGUUUGUGCUUUGUUUCUUUCUUUAAGCCCUGUAGGUUGUUACUUUGCACUUUGCUAUUUUGUUUGUUAUUAAAGUCUGCUUGCACUUAAA
This is a long non-coding RNA of Pygocentrus nattereri (red-bellied piranha), 1276 nucleotides long. RefSeq lists it as uncharacterized. NCBI's taxonomy places the organism in Eukaryota, Metazoa, Chordata, Actinopteri, Characiformes, Serrasalmidae. The transcript is spliced from 3 exons. The record is from RefSeq and is a predicted model, not a curated record.